AAUUUACAAGAAAAAAAAUCAAACAAUUCCAUCAAAAAGUGGGCAAAGGAUAUGAACAGACACCUCUCAAAAGAAGACAUUUAUGCAGCCAACAGACACAUGAAAAAAUGCUCAUCACCACUGGCCAUCAGAGAAAUGCAAAUCAAAACCACAAUGAGAUACCAUCUCACACCGGUUAGAAUGGCAAUCAUUAAAAAGUCAGGAAACAACAGGUGAUGGAGAGGAUGUGGAGAAAUAGGAACACUUUUACACUGUUGGUGGGACUGUAAACUAGUUCAAUCAUUGUUGAAGACAGUGUGGUGAUUCCUCAAGGAUCUAGAACUAGAAAUACCAUCUGACCCAGCCAUCCCAUUACUGGGUAUAUACCCAAAGGAUUAUAAUUCAUGCUGCUAUAAAGACACAUGCACACAUAUGUUUAUUGUGGCACUAUUCACAAUAGCAAAGACUUGGAACCAACCCAAAUGUCCAUCAAUGAUAGACUGGAUUAAGAAAAUGUGGCACAUAUACACCAUGGAAUACUAUGCAGCCAUAAAAAAUGAUGAGUUCAUGUCCUUUGUAGGGACAUGGAUGAAGCUGGAAACCAUCAUUCUCAGCAAACUAUCACAAGGACAGAAAACCAAACACCUCAUGUUCUCACUCAUAGGUGGGAAUUGAACAAUGAGAACACUUGGACACAGGAAAGGGAACAUCACACACCGGGGCCUGUCGUGGGGUGGGGGCAGUGGGGAGGGAUAGCAUUAGGAGAUAUACCUAAUGUAAAUGACGAGUUAAAGGGUGCAGCACACCAGCAUGGCACAUGUAUACAUAUGUAACAAACCUGCAUGUUGUGCACAUGUACCCUAGAACUUAAAGUAAAAUUUUAAAAAAAGGGAAAAAAACAUUAUGAGAAUUUGCGUAAAAAAAAAAAAAAAAAAAAAAGAAAACCAAAUAAAUAUCAAAGUUCAAGAUGCUCACAUUGAAUAGCUAACAUUAUCUUAGAUGUUUUCCUUUUUUAA
Molecule: long non-coding RNA, 995 nt
Filed under: Homo sapiens (human)
Lineage: Eukaryota; Metazoa; Chordata; Mammalia; Primates; Hominidae
Description: HSALNT0399463
Source: RNAcentral